GGGGGAAUGGCUCAGAAGCAGAACUUCUGCUUGGCAUGCAGAAUGUCCCAAGUUCAAUCCCUGUCACCUCCA
This 72-nucleotide transfer RNA is filed under the name Sphaerodactylus townsendi. RNAcentral's name for it is "tRNA-Ala". The record is from RNAcentral. Lineage: Eukaryota; Metazoa; Chordata; Lepidosauria; Squamata; Sphaerodactylidae.